CCUACGGGUGAGCAGCAGUGGGGAAUAUUGUACAAUGGGCGCAAGCCUGAUGCAGCCAUGCCGCGUGUAUGAAGAAGGCCUUCGGGUUGUAAAGUACUUUCAGCGGGGAGUAAGGGAGUUAAGUUAAUACCUUUUCUCAUUGACGUUACCCGCAGAAGAAGCACCGCCUAACUCCGUGCCAGCAGCCGCGGUAAUACGGAGGGUGCAAGCGUUAAUCGGAAUUGCUGGGUGUAAAGCGCACGCAGGCGGGUUGUUAAGUCAGAUGUGAAAUCCCCGGGCUCAACCUUGGAACUGCAGCUCGUACUGGCAAGCUUGAGUCCGGUGAAGGCGGGCAGAAUUCCAGGUGUAGCGGUGAAAUGCGUAGAGAUCACGAGGAAUACCUGUGGCGAAGGCGGCCCCCUGGACGAAGACUGACGCUCAGGUGCGAAAGCGUGGGGAGCAAACAGGAUUAGAUACCCCAGUAGUC
Molecule: ribosomal RNA, 466 nt
Filed under: uncultured bacterium
Lineage: Bacteria
Description: partial 16S ribosomal RNA
Rfam family: Bacterial small subunit ribosomal RNA
Source: RNAcentral